Xiphophorus couchianus (Monterrey platyfish) is the source of this 3114-nucleotide long non-coding RNA. RefSeq lists it as uncharacterized. The transcript has 2 exons. The record is from RefSeq and is a predicted model, not a curated record. Lineage: Eukaryota; Metazoa; Chordata; Actinopteri; Cyprinodontiformes; Poeciliidae.
AAUGACAACAUGGAUGCUUUUCCCCUGCAGAAACAGAAAGUUUCAGGUUAUUUACCAAGGGCUAUUUAUAUGUUUUUACUGAGCAUAAUCAAUAUCUAGAGGUAAUCUGAUCUUUCCACUGUUUUUCAAAGGUAGAUCAGAGGGAAAAACAGUGGGAAUGUUUACCCUCUUGUAAACAUUCCCACUUUUAUCAUGAUAUAACCGUAAAGAAUAUAAAAUAUUUCACUGGGAUUUUAUAUGAAAGAGCAGCACAAAAAGCUCCUUUAUGCCACAAAAUGACUAACCUAUGGUGUCGUUCUGGGUCGCAACUCGGACCAAGUGAACAUAAUGAGUGGCAGUGAGUGUUUUUACAUCACUGUGGGGAAUUCUGGCCGACGUUUCUGUGCAGAAAUAUUUUUUUAAUGUAUUUUAGAGCAUGAAUCAUUCUUUUAAAGACCAUGCAUCUAUUUGUUUUGAGCAUUUAAGUACAGACUUUGAUUAAGUCACAUCAUAUAUUUUCAAGCCAUUCAUUGGACUUGCUGUUGUGCUUUGGAUCAUUUCCCAGCUUCACGAUGUUUUAGACGUUGCGAAGCUGCAACUCUGUUCAGGAACGCUGUAUCUUAUCAUUCCACCGCUCGUUUUCAUGCUCUCAAAUGAAACCAGUUUUUCCAUCUCCAGUGACACUCUUCUGCGCAUUGAGCAGGAAAAGUGUCUCUCAGCAGCUCAUGUUUCACAGAGGGUAGAAAGAGCUGCAAAGACUCUUUGUUUUUUUCCUCUUUUUGCACGAUUCCCACUGAAGGCAGUGAAACUUACCUGAGUCUUAAAGCUGGAACGCAGCUAAAGACUUGAUUAGAUAAAACUGAGCUCUAAACAUCUUGUGUCAACGGAAGCCAACACCCAGUUAUGUGAAAGUUUUCAGACAAUAAACAUCCUUCAGAGCUGAGGCUGCCUGCUAUUUAUAGAUCAUCAACUGAGAGGCGUUCUUUUAAAGCAGGGAAUUUGACCUUUAUUUACCUCAAAAGGCAUAUCUUGUGGUUUAAAAAUAGCAUGGAGUGCCAUGUGGCGGACACUGCAAACACAAGAAGGUGUUCUGGUCUGAUUUAUCCAAGUAUUGUGUCAAUAAUACAGUAACUUUUUUCUGCUCAGUUGGAAGGUAUGACUGUAGUAAAGGUAAUUCAAGUCAAAAUGGGCUGUGCAUGUGAUGAAAAUUUACCCUAAAAGUGUGUGAUUUUCUUCGUUGAGGAUUCUGAUUGCUCAUUUCCCCAGGCGGGAGCGUCUUUAAAGCGUGGUAACAAGGAUGAAGUGGACAUGCGUGUAAUAUUCGACCUUUUCAAAGUGAAACCAGUUCAAAGCCUCUCUUAGUAUUACCCCCGUGUGCCGAGGACAAAUGGACUCCCUGGCUCUGUGCCACCAGCAACACUUGAGCUCACAUGAUGCCAGUUUUAGACAGCUGGAUGUGUGUGUGCGUGCGUGGGUGUGUAGGUGUGUGUGUGUGUCCAUGACUGCGUCAGCAGACGCUUACAUAAUCAGCUCUUUACGGUAAAGCUGCUCUGAAGUCACGUGUUCUUCUGUAUCAUCUGCACCAGUAUCAUCUUGAUAAACAUUGAUUUUUAUGAAAUGUUCUGAGAGGUUAUGGGGCGUUAGAUUUGAGUCCAGUGAGGUGAAAACACUGAGAAAGUUUGAUUCUCACUUUAUAUUCAGGCCUGGUUUCACGUUGAUCCAUUAAUAUUUGAUGUUAAAUCUAAGUAAAUAUGUCAUUUCUGCUUUUACCACCAGUUUUAGUUGAACAGCAUCGAUCUGAGAGAGCAGAGUUUGUACGCCAAAAGCAGAAACUAAUCUAACAAUGUUGUCCUGUUUUGUAGAAAGUUUGGUGAAACUCUAUCAGGGAACACCAAAUAUUUAGAAACAAAUUUUUUUAUUCCAGAUUCGCAAAUUUAACGUCAUUGUAUGAUUAUCAGACACUGUAGAGCAAAAAAAAAAAAAAAAAAAACAACCUUCCAUUACAUCCUGCAAAAGGAAGCAGAUUGAAAUAUUAUCUUUAAGUUGACUGAGAGUCAAAAGAUAUAUUUUCUACAAGUACCAAAUCAUUUGAAUCAAACACGGAAUAUUACAGUGAUCAGAAAAACUGAGCCAGUAAAAGAAAUUCUUACAUUUCUACCACUUUAUUAACAGAAAUGGUCACAUUUAUUGUCACCCACAGUGGAUGUGAGUUUAAUGCAAUGUGUUCACUGGGGAAGAAAUAACAGAUCAUUUAUAGGACAGCAAUCAGUCUCGUCCUACAUCUUUUUAUCGAGUGGUAAUAUUCAGAGAGAGCGAUCUCUGAUUAUUCCUCUGUGUCUCUUUAGAUCCUCCUCAGGUUUUCAGAAGGUUUUAGGUCUGGAUGCUUAGAUAGUCCUGAAAAAAGGUUAAUUUUGUGUCAGGCGAAUCAUUUCUGAGUGGAUUUGGUCACACGUUCUGUAUCAUUAUCUUGCUGAAAGGCCUAACCGUGAUGAAGCUUCAGUUUAAGUAUAUAUAUUUUUUCCAAAAUCUGCUGGUGUUCAAGAGGUUUUUCCCUCCAGUAAGAGGGAGAGAAGCCCACAGCAUCACACGUCCUUCACCAUAAUUACCAUUGGGCAUUUUUAUCCUUCUUUUUAUGCCAGACCCAGCAGGAGUUUUUGUUAUCCAAAAUUGUAACUAAAAAUAAGCGCGAUUCCAGUUUCAUUGCAUGUUUACAUUUUCAGUGGUUGGACAGAAAUCUCCAAACUAAGAUGUUUAAUUCAAAAAUACUUUAUCGAUCCCAAAAUUAAAAUGUUGCUGUAAUUCAUAUUAUUCAUAUAUUCUUCAAAGAAUUGUUGUAGAUGGUGAUGGAUGUGGGCUGGGAAGAUCUCCUCUCUGUAUUACAGUGAAUUACUCAUGGUUGCCAUGGAGACUGGGUGACCGACCCCCACAUUGCCUCUUUUUGCCGUAGCUUUAUCAAGGGAAGCAAGACACAUCUACACUUGAAGUACAGACUGACCUCUGACCUCUGACCCCCUGACAAAUGUAGUAAUGCUGAGCACGUAAAUCCGCCGAAGCGCCUCCCGUGUUUGAGUUUUGUUGGCUGUAUGUGGGUCAGAGCUGCGGCUCGAUAAAAUAAACAUGAAAAAGUAAAAAAAA